GGAGGGGGAGGGGGAGAGAGCAAAUCAUUUAUAAAGAAACAAAAAAAUUGGUCUGCUAUCAGAUGGUACAUUUAUUUCAACACAAAAUGCAAGAAAGCUUCACGGUCUCAUGAAGAGGGCAUGCUUUUGAAUUAAUUCCGACUGAUCUGAAAUUCACUUAAAUUUUGUUGUUGAUUGAUCUGCAGUUAUUUUUUAUUUGUAGAGAAGUUCCGCAUUUGAGAAGCCGGAGAAGAGUAUCUCACUAAGUACAGAUUCGAGUGACUUUGCCAACUUGCUGACAUGGGGUCUCGUUCAGAGCACAAGCUUCACCUGAAUAACCUUCUUUCAGUUAGUAAAACACUCAGCAAAGAUUGGUGAAGAUAAAGCUGCCGAUGUGGUGCUCACUGCUCACCUCGGAUGCAAUUCAAAAUUAUGUUGAUUUAUGUUCCUCUGUGUUACAGUUUAUUCUGGUUUUUAGAAAUACUAAUAUUUUUUCAGCAAGGACAAUGACUAUUCUUAUUUUGACAUAGAGUGUGGUAGAUGAACAUGUCCUCAUUUCAGGUUGAAGGCAUUCCAAAUUCACUUAUAAUAGAAGCUCAAUAAUGCACUUAGUCUACCACCAAAUUCAAAUUAUUGAAAGAUCAAUCCAACAUUAAUUUGCCUCAGAUACAGUCUGGUGCAUUUUCCUUAACAUGACACUCUUUUUAGAGUGAUAACCUUCAUUUCAGGUUGACGGCAUUCCAAAGAAACUUCAAGAUUGCAAGAUAAUGAAAGCGUAAUUACAUUUUUUUUUGCAAUGGCAAGGUGAAAUUGUAUAAAAGAGACAAAGAAGAGUUGCUUCAUGUCCUUAAUCAUCGGUGUGCACCAACGCAGAAAAGUGGUGAUAACUUUCUCAUGAACUUUUAAUUUUCCCCUCCACUCACAAAUUGAUGGCUUUAUCUAAUUGUAAGAUAGGCACAUUGCAAGGUGUAUUUAGACAUCAUUAGUGAUAAAUGUAAAAAAUAUUUAUCCCUUGUAUUCGUGUUUUCAGCAUGAUCCUUCCAAGUACAUGUUUUAUGUUUCUAUUUGUAGCACUGUCAUAUGUUAGACCUAAUGCCUUGCUAAAUGUCCUAUGCAGGCCA
Long non-coding RNA from Triticum aestivum (bread wheat), 1100 nucleotides. RefSeq lists it as uncharacterized. NCBI's taxonomy places the organism in Eukaryota, Viridiplantae, Streptophyta, Magnoliopsida, Poales, Poaceae. The record is from RefSeq and is a predicted model, not a curated record. The transcript has 3 exons.